UGGCGAUUGGGACGAAGUCGUAACAAGGUAGCCGUACCGGAAGGUGCGGCUGGAUCACCUCCUUUCUAAGGAGCA
This 75-nucleotide ribosomal RNA is filed under the name Microbispora bryophytorum. RNAcentral describes it as "partial 16S ribosomal RNA". The stretch from base 1 to 65 matches the Rfam family "Bacterial small subunit ribosomal RNA", at positions 1469 to 1533 of the family's 1533-position model. The record is from RNAcentral. Lineage: Bacteria; Bacillati; Actinomycetota; Actinomycetes; Streptosporangiales; Streptosporangiaceae. RNAcentral also lists the same sequence under 2 other names.